AACGAACGCUGGCGGCAGGCCUAACACAUGCAAGUCGAACGCUCCGCAAGGGGAGUGGCGCACGGGUGAGUAACGCGUGGGAAUAUGCCCUUCGGUUCGGAAUAACACAGGGAAACUUGUGCUAAUACAGGAUAGGAUCUACGGAUGAAAGAUUUAUCGCCGAGGGAGUAGCCCGCGUAGGAUUAGCUAGUUGGUGAGGUAAUGGCUCACCAAGGCGACGAUCCUUAGCUGGUCUGAGAGGAUGAUCAGCCACACAGGGACUGGGACACGGCCCAGACUCCUACGGGAGGCAGCAGUGGGGAAUAUUGGACAAUGGGCGAAAGCCUGAUCCAGCCAUGCCGCGUGAGUGAUGAAGGCCUUAGGGUUGUAAAGCUCUUUCGCCAGGGAAGAUAAUGACGGUACCUGGAAAAGAAGCCUCGGCUAACUCCGUGCCAGCCGCCGCGGUAA
RNAcentral lists this ribosomal RNA (447 nucleotides) under uncultured bacterium. RNAcentral describes it as "partial 16S ribosomal RNA". It matches the Rfam family "Bacterial small subunit ribosomal RNA", at positions 29 to 523 of the family's 1533-position model. The record is from RNAcentral.